AACGAACGCUGGCGGCAGGCUUAACACAUGCAAGUCGAGCGCCCCGCAAGGGGAGCGGCAGACGGGUGAGUAACGCGUGGGAACGUACCUUUUGGUUCGGAACAACUCCGGGAAACUGGAGCUAAUACCGGAUAAGCCCUAACGGGGAAAGAUUUAUCGCCGAAAGAUCGGCCCGCGUCUGAUUAGCUAGUUGGUGAGGUAACGGCUCACCAAGGCGACGAUCAGUAGCUGGUCUGAGAGGAUGAUCAGCCACACUGAGACUGAGACACGGCCCAGACUCCUACGGGAGGCAGCAGUGGGGAAUAUUGGACAAUGGGCGCAAGCCUGAUCCAGCCAUGCCGCGUGAGUGAUGAAGGCCUUAGGGUUGUAAAGCUCUUUUGUCCGGGAAGAUAAUGACUGUACCGGAAGAAUAAGCCCCGGCUAACUUCGUG
Molecule: ribosomal RNA, 431 nt
Filed under: uncultured bacterium
Lineage: Bacteria
Description: partial 16S ribosomal RNA
Rfam family: Bacterial small subunit ribosomal RNA
Source: RNAcentral